ACGUUUUCGUAACAUUUUUAAAAUGGUAGGAUGGAAUGUUUCUGUAAUGUUCGCAGAAACCCCACAAAAAAUGUUCUCAAUACAUUAAAAAAACUUGCCGUUCUCAACGUGUACAAAACAUUCCGAAAUAACGUUUUCAUAACUUAAGGGAAAUGUUAGUAAAACGUUCUGACAACUCAUUUUUGUUAGCUGGGUCUACGCAUCAACAUCUUGUUUUUCACAACUGAGAGACUCUUAUAGAUGGGUCCUAUAAACCUCUCCCACCAUCAACUGCUGUGCAAGACCUCAGUGGCCAAAAUGUCAUAUAUGAGCAAGUGUGUUUGCUGCCCAUUACACAACCUGACAAAAUUUGUGAUUAUGACCCUCAAAACCUGGCUGUUGUAGCUGGAUGAUCUGUUGUACUCAUCUGUAUAAAUGGUCGCUAUGACGUCUUCCUGCCAGUGAUGAAUUGCAGACCAUGUCUUGCAUCAUGGACAGCUGAGGUGGUGGACAUGUUGUUUAGUGGUUACUGGCCAGGCACUGUCAAGUUUCAAACCAUAUACCAGGUAGACCUCUUUGCAUCGCUUGAGAUCACUGCACCUGGGCUUUCAAGACAAGCAUUUGUGAAAAUGUUACAACAGCGCUCACAACAAUUUGGAAGGGUACAUGGAAAAGGCAUCUGUGGAACAUGAGCAUGGGCUGCAGCCAGGGAGACCUCUAAAAAGACAAACACUAAAUGUGAUGAAGAGGGCCUAGAGGUGGCAGUUUGCAGGCACAGCAUAUU
Long non-coding RNA from Cyprinus carpio carpio, 763 nucleotides. NCBI's taxonomy places the organism in Eukaryota, Metazoa, Chordata, Actinopteri, Cypriniformes, Cyprinidae. The record is from Ensembl.